Long non-coding RNA from Cotesia glomerata, 1622 nucleotides. RefSeq lists it as uncharacterized. The transcript is spliced from 3 exons. Lineage: Eukaryota; Metazoa; Arthropoda; Insecta; Hymenoptera; Braconidae. The record is from RefSeq and is a predicted model, not a curated record.
UUAUUUGUAAAAAAAAAUAAAAAAGUUGGCAUUACUUGUGUCACGUGACGCCAACAUUAUUCUACGUAUGAUACGUGUAUCAUAUAUAAUGUAAUAACAGUAAAUUUAAACCGGCGCAAUUAUACCCAAAGAUUUUAGAGACAGAUUAUUAUUUUUUAAUUAUCUUAUCUUUUUAUUGUACUUUUAAUAAAACAUUAUUUAUUAUCUAUUAAUAUAUGAAGUAUAUUGUAUUUUAUACUGUAGGUUGUAUAUUAAUGAUGCUAUUUUUUAGUACUUAUUUAUAAAGUGUUAUUUAUAUUUCUUGUUUGAUUUGUACAUUAAAUGGAUCUUAAAGGCAUGCGUAAAGCACCGUCAGUUAUUGAUUCACUUUACUAAGACAGAGUAGUUUGAAUUGACCCAGUUAGAAUCACGCCAGAACAAAUUUUCGGUAGACAUUAAUUUUCCACGUUUGGAUGGAGAUCAAGAACCAAGUACGUACUAUGACUAUAUAUCACUAGCCUCUCAACAAGAAGAAUAGUUAGUGAUGUCUAUUGUCAUGACUUAUUAUUACAACAUUUAAACAAUCAACAAUAAUCAACCCUCUAUUGUUCUCAAGCUACUUACACUCUUCCUUAUUGAACUUGAUGUUCUUUAACUCGAUUAACUGCUCCAAUAUAUUAUUCAUUUUUAAUUUUCAGAUCACUUUUACUUUCAAAUCACAGCAAAUAAAAUUUUUUAAAAAACCACUGGCAGUCCAACAAAAUAAAUUUAAUGUUUAACCACAAAUGAAAAACUGCACCCCGGAUCAACAAAUCGUAAGUAAAACUUUUACUAAAAUUAUAAUUAAAAUAAUUUUAACUUUUAAUUAACCAAGUACACAAAAGGAAGUUAAAUAUUUAAAAAAUUUUCAGGCCUUUUCGGCAGAGAUAGACACAGACCGAAGGAACGUGUGAUUCUAAAGAGGAUCCGAGCAAAUGAAAAUGUUGGCAGCGCACCAGCCAAAAAUCUGGUCGAGCCGUUUAUAUUUAGUUAACCCACAGCUAGAUUAUAUCCUCUAUCUCAACCUCUACCUCUAUACUUCUGCUGCUACCUACAAUACAACUGUACUAACACCAAUACCAAUAAGAAGACUAGAUAAAUUGUCUGGGUUGGUAUUGGUAGCAAGAGUAUGAAUAUAAUAUGACGAUUCGAGUCUGCUCACUCAGUUACAAGGAUGGAAAUUAAAAAACUGGCCUGUUACUACUCAGUAACAGUGAAGACCUGGCAAAUAGGAUGCGUUUCCGGAUCCGCGCAGCUGGUCGGUGAAUUUACAACUAAACCCACCCUGGACAGUCACGUGUCACAAUCACGAUGUAAAACAGAGAUGAGAUUGACAGCUUAAAAAAUGAUGGAUGCUAGAACUUAAGUUGAAGAACUUGAGAAUUUUUUUAACGGUAUAAUUCUAAAUGCUCGAACAGCGGGAGCUUGGAAAUUUACGGCAGAUUGGUUCAGGCUAUAGGGCUUGUUGCAAGGACAAAGUUGAGAACCGUAUCUUUAAAAGCCUAAUCAACUGCACGAGAAAGUUGAUAUAACAAAAGGGAGAGUUAUUCUGCAGCUAGACUAAUUUUUUUAAGUGAUGCAAUAUUUUUUAGAAUCAAGUUUAA